Molecule: non-coding RNA, 69 nt
Filed under: unclassified sequences
Description: Transposase-2 RNA
Rfam family: Transposase-2 RNA
Source: Rfam by way of RNAcentral
GAAGUGCGAACCAAGCGUCGGUGCAAACCGUGUAAGUCUUGGAGCGGAUAGUCGCAAGACUGUCCUGCA